UACGUAGGGGGCAAGCGUUGUCCGGAUUUAUUGGGCGUAAAGAGCGUGUAGGCGGCCAGACAGGUCCGUUGUGAAAACUCGAGGCUCAACCUCGAGAUGUCGAUGGAAACCGUCUGGCUAGAGUCCGGAAGAGGAGUGUGGAAUUCCUGGUGUAGCGGUGAAAUGCGCAGAUAUCAGGAAGAACACCUAUGGCGAAGGCAGCACUCUGGGACGGUACUGACGCUGAGACGCGAAGGCGUGGGGAGCAAACGGG
This 253-nucleotide ribosomal RNA is filed under the name uncultured bacterium. Its description in RNAcentral is "partial 16S ribosomal RNA". It matches the Rfam family "Bacterial small subunit ribosomal RNA", at positions 524 to 776 of the family's 1533-position model. The record is from RNAcentral.